GGCUCCGCCGGGAGCCGCUGAGGGGAGGGGACUGCAGGAGGCGGGUUAACAGCAACCAAGGCCGUCGCAAGCCUCAACGGUCCCAGAAGGAGGGGGGAGCCGGCGGACGGCUUGUUGCGUGUGAAGCGCGACAUGGCGGCGAGGCCGACCAGCCCGAGUGGCCUCGUGUAUGCAGAGAAGGGGCGGGGCUAGAGCGGUCUCGACCUCCAGUAGACUUGCCUCCGGCAGGGCCGCGCGGAGACUACAUUUCCCAGAGGGUGCUGCGCGUCGCGGAAAGGAGGGGGAGGAAGCACUUUGACUCCAGUGCGCAGGCGUGAGAGUCUCCUCAGGCUAUUUAAGCGAGGCUGGAGUGUUUCGCGUUCUUUCGCUUCUGCGGCUCUCGUCGGAGCCUUCGUCUCUCUGUUCCUCUUCUGAUGGCGUUCUACCCUGGGAACGUGGGUGUGCUACUCCAUGUGGUUUGCAUGAUCAGAGACUGCAGGAUGGAUCUCGGAGAAGACGGCUCCUGCUGGGCCUCUAAGGCAACCAUGUAUAGACAUCCACAAUCUUCAGUCUCCUGAUCUCUGGGGUUUACUAGUGGCAGAAAGCAGACUUUGAAUGGACUAUCAUUUGGAAAGAAUGGGUAAGUCAUGUCCAUUAACUGUUCCUUUUUAAAAGGGGUUAUCCCCCUCGCGUUCUAAUUACUGUGACCCAAAUAUAUGGCCAUUGCAGCUGAUGACUUUUCUCCCAGUCAGAUCGACCCUGUUGAUCUCACUGAAUUAGCCAGUUUUGUUGAUGGCAUUGGUCACAAACACAACCUCAGUUUUCUGCUUACCAUCAACAGAUUUUGCUAUGUGGGAAUUGGGCUUGCUUCAAGGGUUUUUUCCCCCCUUAACCAAUCAAGUUAUUGGCUUCAUUUGUUGACUUUCUGCAGGGCUAGAGCACCCUGUGUUCGUCAAGGCAAUGAGGAAGUGGAUUCCAGCCUGAUUUUGCCGUCAGCUUGGUUCAGUCUAUCCUGUAACAGGGCAUUUAUCAGCUAUGGACUUGGAAUACAAGGCCUCAAAUGACUGAUCCUGUGCUCUCCAGAGAAAGCAUGACUUGGUUGAUUAGUCUCACAAGAUGAUUCUGCAACCCAGGUGUCCAGAGUUGGAAAAGCCUGUGCCUGCUCUGAAGAAUCAGUUACUAAUUUUUAGCCUCCCUAUGUGGAAAAUAAAGUCCUUUAAAUCAAAACGUUGUUGUACUUGAUUAUUGGAGAUAGUGGCUUAGAACAGGGGCAAUGAGUAACCACCAUAUUUUUAGCCCCAAGGGCAGGUAGCAGGUAAAUCCCAUACUUGUACAUUUUUACAGGAAUUUUUCUGAUCAGGGUUGUUCCCAGUCUAGGGGUGUGGAAUCUAGCUGUAGCUUUUUAUCUUUUCUGGUAAGACUUAGUAUUGACUCCUUGAAUCCCAUCCCCUUGAGCAUAUGAGUAUGGAUCUAGUGCUUCCAAGGAAUAGAAGACUAGCAAGAGGGGACCAUUAACCUCUGAUAAUUGAUUGU
Molecule: long non-coding RNA, 1512 nt
Filed under: Sus scrofa (pig)
Lineage: Eukaryota; Metazoa; Chordata; Mammalia; Artiodactyla; Suidae
Description: lncRNA (ENSSSCG00005029672.1)
Rfam family: ZNFX1 antisense RNA 1 conserved region 1 (bases 144-345)
Source: RNAcentral